RNAcentral lists this ribosomal RNA (492 nucleotides) under uncultured bacterium. Its description in RNAcentral is "partial 16S ribosomal RNA". It matches the Rfam family "Bacterial small subunit ribosomal RNA", at positions 29 to 507 of the family's 1533-position model. The record is from RNAcentral.
AGUGAACGCUGGCGGUAGGCCUAACACAUGCAAGUCGAACGGCAGCACAGUAAGAGCUUGCUCCUACGGGUGGCGAGUGGCGGACGGGUGAGGAAUACAUCGGAAUCUACUUUUUCGUGGGGGAUAACGUAGGGAAACUUACGCUAAUACCGCAUACGACCUACGGGUGAAAGCAGGGGAUCUUCGGACUUUGCGCGAUUGAAUGAGCCGAUGUCGGAUUAGCUAGUUGGCGGGGUAAAGGCCCACCAAGGCGACGAUCCGUAGCUGGUCUGAGAGGAUGAUCAGCCACACUGGAACUGAGACACGGUCCAGACUCCUACGGGAGGCAGCAGUGGGGAAUAUUGGACAAUGGGCGCAAGCCUGAUCCAGCCAUACCGCGUGGGUGAAGAAGGCCUUCGGGUUGUAAAACCCUUUUGUUGGGGAAGAAAAGCAGCAGGUUAAUACCCCGCUGUUCUGACGGUACCCAAAGAAUAAGCACCGGCUAACUUCGUG